RNAcentral lists this unclassified non-coding RNA (623 nucleotides) under Homo sapiens (human). RNAcentral's name for it is "chromosome 2 open reading frame 92 (ENSG00000291598.1)". The record is from RNAcentral. Lineage: Eukaryota; Metazoa; Chordata; Mammalia; Primates; Hominidae.
GCAGAGCCAUGGCCCUCUUCUUUGUUCUCUGCUGGAUCCAAGAGAUGGGAUUUCAUCAUGUUGGCCAGGCUGGUCAUGAACUCCUGACCUCAAUGGAUCCUCCUGCCUCAGCUUCCUGAGUAGCUGGGACCACAGGUGCACACCACCACGCCCAGAUGAAAUUGUGCUCCAAGUGUUUUCCAAGGUUCCGUAUGACCCAUCAUUUGAUGAAACAAGAACAGCAGUCAGAUCCAUUACAAAGAGAGACACACAAAAAAGCUAUUCCCAACAGAAGAGCUUGAACAAUGCUGCAUUUGCAUCAGGUUCAAAUGAGCGAGAGGAACAUUUGGCUAAAAUAUUUGAUGAAAUUCUACUGCAGGUGUUUCCAAAGUUUCCGUAUGACCCAUCAUUUAACGAAGCAACAGCAGUCAGAUCCAUUACAAAGACAGACAUGAGAAAAGGAACCAGCAUUGCUUGGAAUUCUCCUAAACCAGAAUAUUUCCUUGGCAGUGUGGACAAAAUUCCUGAUAAAGAUCACCUUUCAGAGGAGAAGAAUUUUAAAGAAUCCUGUCUGUUCGACAGGGAUUUAAGAGAGCAGUUAACUACUAUAGAUAAAGAAACACUUCAAGGAGCAGCUAAACCAG